GACGAACGCUGGCGGCGUGCCUAAUACAUGCAAGUAGAACGUAGUUGCGAACGGGUGAGUAACGCGUAGGUAACUGCCUCAUAGCGGGGGAUAACUAUUGGAAACGAUAGCUAAUACCGCAUACUGUGAGAUGGACCUGCGUUGUAUUAGUUAGUUGGUGAGGUAAAGGGUCACCAAGGCGACGAUACAUAGCCGGCCUGAGAGGGUGGUCGGCCACACUGGGAAUGAGACACGGCCCAGGCUCCUAAGGGAGGGAACAGGAGGGGAACUUCGGCAAUGGGCGGAAGUCUGAACGAGCAACGCCGCGGGAGUGGAGAAGGUUUUCGGGUCGUAAAACUAUGUUGUGAGAGGAGCGGUAACUAACCAGAAAGGGACGGCUAACUACGUGCCAGCAGCCGCGGUAAUAC
Molecule: ribosomal RNA, 407 nt
Filed under: uncultured bacterium
Lineage: Bacteria
Description: partial 16S ribosomal RNA
Rfam family: Bacterial small subunit ribosomal RNA
Source: RNAcentral